GAUUAUGAGAAAGAUGGAUUUAAUUAAUAGACCAAUACUAUAUCAUAGUCUAAUUGGUAGAUUAUCGACCAGGAUUGUAUUUAAAAUAUUUAUUUCAUGCUUGCUAGAAUUUGUAGUCGUAGAAGUCAGCUGGUGAAGUUUCGGGUGGAGAAGAUCGAUAAAUGUGAUUGUUUAGUGCACUGGAGUUUUGCAAAUUAGUGAAAUUUUGGUGAAAAGUAGUAUUUAAUAUGAUUUAGAUUGUUGAGGUUGUGUUUGAGGAGUGUUAGAGUGUUUUUGCUAUGAAAACAGCACGAAAACAGAGUUUAGAGUGCAUAAUUUGAACAAUAUGCAAAAAUACAGAUUUUUGUA
Molecule: long non-coding RNA, 348 nt
Filed under: Ananas comosus (pineapple)
Lineage: Eukaryota; Viridiplantae; Streptophyta; Magnoliopsida; Poales; Bromeliaceae
Description: long non-coding RNA (ACOM_LNC013823)
Source: RNAcentral